CCUACGGGAGGCUGCAGUAGGGAAUCUUCCACAAUGGGCGAAAGCCUGAUGGAGCAACGCCGCGUGGGUGAAGAAGGUCUUCGGAUCGUAAAACCCUGUUGUUAGAGAAGAAAGUGCGUGAGAGUAACUGUUCACGUUUCGACGGUAUCUAACCAGAACGCCACGGCUAACUACGUGCCAGCAGCCGCGGUAAUACGUAGGUGGCAAGCGUUAUCCGGAUUUAUUGGGCGUAAAGGGAACGCAGGCGGUCUUUUAAGUCUGAUGUGAAAGCCUUCGGCUUAACCGGAGUAGUGCAUUGGAAACUGGGAGACGUGAGUGCAGAAGAGGAGAGUGGAACUCAAUGUGUAGCGGUGAAAUGCGUAGAUAGAUGGAAGAACACCAGUGGCGAAAGCGGCUCUCUGGUCUGUAACUGACGCUGAGGUUCGAAAGCGUGGGUAGCAAACAGGAUUAGAUACCCGGGUAGUC
This 465-nucleotide ribosomal RNA is filed under the name uncultured bacterium. Its description in RNAcentral is "partial 16S ribosomal RNA". It matches the Rfam family "Bacterial small subunit ribosomal RNA", at positions 338 to 795 of the family's 1533-position model. The record is from RNAcentral.